UCAGAUUGAAAUCUAAAAUCU
RNAcentral lists this non-coding RNA (21 nucleotides) under Caenorhabditis elegans. Lineage: Eukaryota; Metazoa; Nematoda; Chromadorea; Rhabditida; Rhabditidae. The record is from RNAcentral.